RNAcentral lists this ribosomal RNA (457 nucleotides) under uncultured bacterium. Its description in RNAcentral is "bacterial SSU rRNA". It matches the Rfam family "Bacterial small subunit ribosomal RNA", at positions 30 to 477 of the family's 1533-position model. The record is from RNAcentral.
AUUGAACGCUGGCGGCGUGCCUAACACAUGCAAGUCGAGCGGUAACAGGUGUAGCAAUACAUGCUGACGAGCGGCGAACGGGUGAGUAAUGCUUCGGAAUCUGCCCAUGUAGUGGGGAAUAACCAGCCGAAAGGUUGGCUAAUACCGCAUACGACCUACGGGUGAAAGCAGGGGAUCGCAAGACCUUGCGCUAUUGGAUGAGCCGAAGUCGGAUUAGCUGUUGGUAGGGUAACGGCCUACCAAGGCGACGAUCCGUAGCUGGUCUGAGAGGACGACCAGCCACACUGGGACUGAGACACGGCCCAGACUCCUACGGGAGGCAGCAGUGGGGAAUAUUGGACAAUGGGGGCAACCCUGAUCCAGCGACGCCGCGUGUGUGAAGAAGGCCUGCGGGUUGUAAAGCACUUUUAGUUGGGGAGUGAAAAGACACAUGGCUAAUAUCCGUGUGUCUUGACCU